AAGCUCGUAGUUGAAUUUCGGGAUUAGUACGUUGGUCGUGCCUUAGGUACGUACUGGUGUUACUGGUUCCUACCUUCUGACGAACCAUCAUGUCAUUAAUUUGGUGUGGUGGGGAAUCAGGACUGUUACUUUGAAAAAAUUAGAGUGUUUAAAGCAGGCUCGCGCUUGAAUACAUUAGCAUGGAAUAAUGAAAUAGGACGUUGAUCCUAUUUUGUUGGUUUCUAGGAUUGACGUAAUGAUUAUAGGGAUAGUUGGG
RNAcentral lists this ribosomal RNA (256 nucleotides) under uncultured Glomus. Its description in RNAcentral is "partial 18S ribosomal RNA". It matches the Rfam family "Eukaryotic small subunit ribosomal RNA", at positions 624 to 886 of the family's 1831-position model. Lineage: Eukaryota; Fungi; Glomeromycota; Glomeromycetes; Glomerales; Glomeraceae. The record is from RNAcentral.